RNAcentral lists this ribosomal RNA (455 nucleotides) under uncultured organism. Its description in RNAcentral is "bacterial SSU rRNA". It matches the Rfam family "Bacterial small subunit ribosomal RNA", at positions 346 to 794 of the family's 1533-position model. The record is from RNAcentral.
GUGCAGCAGUCGCGAAUUUUUCUCAAUGGGGGAAACCCUGAAGGAGCGACGCCGCGUGGAGGAUGAAGGUCUUCGGGUUGUAAACUCCUGUCAUUUGGGAACAAGUCGCUUACGUUAACUGCGUGAGCGUUGAUAGUACCAGAAGAGGAAGAGACGGCUAACUCUGUGCCAGCAGCCGCGGUAAUACAGAGGUCUCAAGCGUUGUUCGGAUUCAUUGGGCGUAAAGGGUGUGUAGGUGGCGCCGUAAGUCGGGUGUGAAAUCUCGGGGCUUAACUCCGAAACUGCAUUCGAUACUGCGGUGCUUGAGGACUGGAGAGGAGACUGGAAUUCAUGGUGUAGCAGUGAAAUGCGUAGAGAUCAUGAGGAAGACCAGUGGCGAAGGCGGGUCUCUGGACAGUUCCUGACACUGAGACACGAAGGCCAGGGGAGCAAACGGGAUUAGAUACCCCUGUAGU